This 534-nucleotide long non-coding RNA is filed under the name Carica papaya (papaya). RNAcentral's name for it is "long non-coding RNA (CPAP_LNC010630)". The record is from RNAcentral. Lineage: Eukaryota; Viridiplantae; Streptophyta; Magnoliopsida; Brassicales; Caricaceae.
CCUGCACCACGUCCGGGACGGCAUCGACAUCCUGCUGGGUGAGGUUGUAAGCCCUGCCCUGGAUAGGAGGUCUUCCCUGAUUCUGGUUCCUUGGGAACUCUCUCGCAUAGUGUUGGGCACUACCACAUAUGCGACAAGUGUUGUUGAGGCGGUAGCAUGGUCGGUCCCCGUGAUCCCUGCCACAAUGCUGACAGAUCUUACCAUGUCCUGCCACUAGAGCCUGAGGGGGAGCUUGGAUCACCGGUCUGGACCUCUUGUUCUAUUGGACAGGCGCAGCAGGUGCUGGUAUGUGGGGUGGAGCUGAGGGCCUGUGGUUCUCUGCUGACUGAGGGAGGGUGUGGAGGCUCCUCUCCACUAACUGUGUCUUGGCCAAAACGACCGAGUAUGUCCUGAGCUCCAGUACAAAUAAAUGCUGCUUGAUCUCUGGGCGGAGGCCCCACUGGAACCUCCUAGCCUUUCUGCCCUCAUCCAUCAACGUCUCAAGGGAGUAUCGGGCCAAAACUCCAAGAACUUACGAGCAUAUUCUGACACCGU